CUGAUUCAAUCACACACUAACUUUUCCAUUGAAAUAUGUAAAAGUUAUUGAAUCUCUAUUUUAUAUGUGGUCGACUCGGCCUCAUUGACCAAUACUGUGAGAUUUUAUUUCAGGUGCCACAUGUCCAAAUUAUCAGGUUAUGGGAUGAUUAUGUCAAAGCUUCCACACAUCAUUCUCCUAACACAAAAGGCAUGCCAUGGCCAGUCAAAAUAUCCUUAGACAUAUACGACACUUGUGUUGUUGAGAUAAUUUCGCAGUUAUUUUGGCGAUCAUCAAACCCGGUUCGGUCAAACCGGAUUUCGGGCUUUUAAUUAGUCUAAUUUUAAACCCAUACCCGAUCCAUUUAGACAACCGAGUAGGACCGGGUUUUAACCCAUGUGUUUUCCGGGCUGAACCGGGUAAACCCAUAUAAACCCGAACUAUGUUUUUUUUUCAUUUGGGCUGACGGAUUUGGAGGGAAAAAUCUGACCCAAUACAACCCAAAAUGAUAAUAACACUACCCAUUGAAGCUUUUUGUGCCUCCUCCUUCUCCAAAUUCUAUGGUCAUCGUCCGUGAACGCCUCCAGCUUAACUGAAUACCGCCCUCAUUUCCCCUUACCUCUCCAACCCUCUUCUGUCGCGACCACCACCACCAGUACCACCACUAAUUCCUGCUCCUCCCUCAUCACCUCGAACCUUGAAAAGCUUUGCGUCUUCAUGUACGGCAACGACGGCACGGUUUACAAAGUCCGCGACGAUAACGAAAUCCGCUGCUAGAUCGUCCAGGUGAUGGAGAUCCUCCGCCGCACUGAUUCUCCCAACAUUGUCAAGUCGCACUUUUUCGUGAUGAUGUUGAUAGAUGGGUUUAGAUGAUGAUGAUUAUACGGGGUUGUUUAUUAUGGUGAGAGGCUAAUUGGAUGGGUUUGAUGAUUUAAUAAUAGAAAUGGGGGAGAGAAGGGUAGAUUAGGGAUGGGAGAUGGAAGACGUGAUGUUUUCCGGGUAAUGGGUAUUGUAUUGUUGAUUUUUUU
RNAcentral lists this long non-coding RNA (1007 nucleotides) under Linum usitatissimum (flax). RNAcentral describes it as "long non-coding RNA (LUSI_LNC003750)". The record is from RNAcentral. Lineage: Eukaryota; Viridiplantae; Streptophyta; Magnoliopsida; Malpighiales; Linaceae.